This 236-nucleotide ribosomal RNA is filed under the name uncultured bacterium. RNAcentral's name for it is "partial 16S ribosomal RNA". It matches the Rfam family "Bacterial small subunit ribosomal RNA", at positions 103 to 334 of the family's 1533-position model. The record is from RNAcentral.
CGGGUGAGUAACACGUGGGUAACCUACCCAUCAGAGGGGGAUAACACUUGGAAACAGGUGCUAAUACCGUAUAACAAUCGAAACCGCAUGGUUUCGGUUUGAAAGGCGCUUUUGCGUCACUGAUGGAUGGACCCGCGGUGCAUUAGCUAGUUGGUGAGGUAACGGCUCACCAAGGCAACGAUGCAUAGCCGACCUGAGAGGGUGAUCGGCCACAUUGGGACUGAGACACGGCCCAA